RNAcentral lists this transfer RNA (23 nucleotides) under Pseudolactococcus raffinolactis. RNAcentral describes it as "Lactococcus raffinolactis tRNA-Ala". The record is from RNAcentral. Lineage: Bacteria; Bacillati; Bacillota; Bacilli; Lactobacillales; Streptococcaceae.
CGGUUCGAUCCCGCUAGGCUCCA